GACACCAUGGCCGACGGGUUAAGGCAAUGAGUCAGAGUUACAUAUAGUGAACCUUGUUUGUGUCAUUUGUCUCGUUUAUGCAGGUUCGAGCCCUGCUGGUGUCA
This is a non-coding RNA of Coprinopsis sp. MPI-PUGE-AT-0042, 104 nucleotides long. The record is from the annotation of a GenBank genome assembly. NCBI's taxonomy places the organism in Eukaryota, Fungi, Basidiomycota, Agaricomycetes, Agaricales, Psathyrellaceae.